Heliocybe sulcata is the source of this 78-nucleotide non-coding RNA. NCBI's taxonomy places the organism in Eukaryota, Fungi, Basidiomycota, Agaricomycetes, Gloeophyllales, Gloeophyllaceae. The record is from the annotation of a GenBank genome assembly.
UCCCUCUUAGCUCAGUUGGUAGAGCGCGACACUAGUAGCGCAAUGUCGAGGUCAGUCGUUCAAGUCGGCUAGCGGGAA